Molecule: non-coding RNA, 69 nt
Organism: Podarcis lilfordi (Lilford's wall lizard)
Lineage: Eukaryota; Metazoa; Chordata; Lepidosauria; Squamata; Lacertidae
Source: the annotation of a GenBank genome assembly
GAUAGCUCAGUCAACAGAGCAUGUAGACUCUUUAUCUCAGGAUUGUGGGUUCAAGCCCCACAUUGGGCA